CCUGCAUCCAGAGCCUACUGCUAUACUAUGUGACUUGAUCGUUCACCCUAGAUGAGAGGGUGUUGAUCCAUGCAGGGCCAAGCGUAUCAUCCCUCCCAAGAAUUUGAGCCUAUAACUAAGAGGUUUAACUUAGUUUGGGCAAGUGUGCUGCAUGAAAGACUCAAAAUAGAAAAUGAUGGAGCAGCCACCUUCUGCUUGUCAAGUAAGCUGAGAAGGAGAAAUAAUUAGUCUGCAGAAAGGGUGGAAUGCAGCAGACACGAGAGAAAAUGGAUGAGUGAAUAAAUCCUGGAGAAUCCUGCUUCCCACCAGUUGUUGGUUGCAGACCCUUCCUGAGGUCUAGCCAUGUUCCAGGACUCCUGGCUUGAGGCACGCUGCAGUUCUCUUUUGUGUUAAGCCUGCUCACAUUGUUGUUGUGUUUUUUCAAAAUGUUUACAACCAAGAGUUCUAACUAAUAAAUGAGUAUAAUUAUUAGUAGUAUGACAAGUGACAUGGGCACAGGACAAAUUUUUACUUAUUUCUACACACAGAGUAAAAAUGGCAAUUAUAUUUAAUGAUAAAUAGGCCAAUGACAACUCAUAUUUGUUUUUAAAUUCUUUCCACUAUAAACAUUCAUCCGCAGCAAAAUUUGCAAGACAUUGGGUUUGGCAGCGGGGGUAACGAUAUAUAGCAGUGGUGGGAAACCUUAUUUUGAUUAAAGACAAAUUCAUGAGAAAGCAAAAAUACUUCCAGGCUAUAUUUCUCUUUCCUUCAAAAUGGCUUUAUUAUUGAUCCUAUGGGGAAAAUUAUAUUCUUAUUGCUCAGGUGAUGUAUUUAUUGAAGAGGAGAAUGUCAGUGAGAAACUGUGUUUACUUUUCAGCCUCUGCAAUAUUAUAAUAUGGUCCAAUUUGAGAAUUAGUAACACCAGACAGCUUUUUGUAAUUGUCCAUCUCUGAUGUUUGCACAGCACCUUCACUUUCACCACCUGAGUUCAUCUGCAUUAGCCCCAUUUAUCCUCCCAUCCCCUCAAAAAGAUCUAGCCCAAGAAGUAUUAUUAUCCCCAUUUAACAUAUGGAGAAACUGAGGCUCUGUGGAGGUUUCAAAGCGUAUCUGUAAAUCCUUUGACACUCUUCCCACCAGGAAGCAGAAUCUAUAUCCUCUCCCCUGGAACAUGGGCAGAACUUUCACUGCCUCCAAGAAAACAAUGUGCUGGACUGUGAGGCUGGGUGACAAAUGGCAAUUG
RNAcentral lists this long non-coding RNA (1219 nucleotides) under Equus caballus (horse). RNAcentral's name for it is "lncRNA (ENSECAG00000057830.1)". The record is from RNAcentral. Lineage: Eukaryota; Metazoa; Chordata; Mammalia; Perissodactyla; Equidae.